Molecule: long non-coding RNA, 861 nt
Filed under: Struthio camelus australis
Lineage: Eukaryota; Metazoa; Chordata; Aves; Struthioniformes; Struthionidae
Description: lncRNA (ENSSCUG00000007517.1)
Source: RNAcentral
CCUGCCCCGGCAGCGGGAAGCACCUUGGCAUUGCGGAUCCAUCUAGAUGCCAUAGCGUGCCACACGUGUGCAGCCACCCUGCGGGAACGGCCUCUGCUCCCCCCUACUGCCGUGCUAGAGACUAAAGUUAAAACCAGGCAAGGCAGAUCCUCGAGGGCUAGCGGGGGUUAUGCACGCAGGCGAGGACUUCCUGCUGGGGUAACUGUGGAAAUUGCCACCCGCAGUUGCCUGUGCCUGUGCCUGUGUUGUCCCUCUGCUACUGGGGAUACUGGAGCAGGAGCAACGGGGACAGCUGGGAUCUCUCAGCCUUUCCUCUUCUCAUCCCAACUACUGUGGGCUAUACCUGCGAAAUGCAGUGAUCAAAACCAAAGAAACUGGAGCAGAGUCGGAGAGCGCCCAAGGCCACAGGAGAGCCCGGCUCUGCCGCCCUCUCCCGCGCUGGUGGGCGAUCACCACCGUCAGCCAACACAGCGAUGCCACUCCCAGGCUUUCCGUUCGCUGGUAGGGCCUGUAUAAAGCAUCACUAGAGUGAGCUAUCUGAGCACGGUGUUUUCCUCCUUCUCCGGUCAUGUCCAAGGAGCCACUGCGUUGAGCAAUACCAGACAUCUGCAAAAGAAGGGAAGUGGCUGCCACAAGCAAGUAACACAAUACAGUGGCAAUUGUAAAGAGAAAAGUCUUCAUGGAUUACACAUCUAAAUCUAAUAUAGAGGACCUCUGCAGGCUGAUUUCUUUCUGCUGAAUGCACAGCAUGCUACACAUGCUACACUGAUUUUUCAGACAAAAAUAGGGCAGGAUUUCAGCAUGCUAAAGCCUCUCUUGCCUGUGCACAAAGCGAGCUGUACCAGAAAGAACAAGCAAGAU